This 1076-nucleotide ribosomal RNA is filed under the name Bdellovibrio bacteriovorus. Its description in RNAcentral is "bacterial SSU rRNA". It matches the Rfam family "Bacterial small subunit ribosomal RNA", at positions 94 to 1186 of the family's 1533-position model. Lineage: Bacteria; Pseudomonadati; Bdellovibrionota; Bdellovibrionia; Bdellovibrionales; Pseudobdellovibrionaceae. The record is from RNAcentral.
AGUGGCGCACGGGUGAGGAACGCGUGGAUAAUCUGCCUUAGAGUGGGGGAUAACUAGUCGAAAGAUUAGCUAAUACCGCAUAAGACCACAGGAGCUGCGGCUCUAGGGGUCAAAGGUUUUUCGCUCUAAGAUGAGUCCGCGUAAGAUUAGCUAGUUGGUGAGGUAACGGCUCACCAAGGCGACGAUCUUUAACUGGUCUGAGAGGAUGAUCAGUCACACUGGAACUGAGACACGGUCCAGACUCCUACGGGAGGCAGCAGUAGGGAAUAUUGCACAAUGGAGGAAACUCUGAUGCAGCGACGCCGCGUGAGUGAUGAAGGCCUUCGGGUCGUAAAGCUCUGUCGCAGGGGAAUAACACAAUGAAUGUACCCUGUAAGAAAGGAUCGGCUAACUUCGUGCCAGCAGCCGCGGUAAGACGAGGGAUCCUAGCGUUGUUCGGAAUUAUUGGGCGUAAAGCGGAUGUAGGUGGCUUUGUAAGUCAGAUGUGAAAGCCCAGGGCUCAACCCUGGAAGUGCAUUUGAUACUGCGAAGCUUGAGUGUCGGAGAGGUUACUAGAAUUGUUGGUGUAGUGGUGAAAUACGUAGAUAUCAACAGGAAUACCGGAGGCGAAGGCGGGUAACUGGCCGAACACUGACACUGAGAUCCGAAAGCGUGGGGAUCAAACAGGAUUAGAUACCCUGGUAGUCCACGCCGUAAACGAUGGAUACUUGUUGUUGGAGGUAUUGACCCCUUCAGUGACGAAGCUAACGCGUUAAGUAUCCCGCCUGGGGAGUACGGUCGCAAGAUUAAAACUCAAAGAAAUUGACGGGGGCCCGCACAAGCGGUGGAGCAUGUGGUUUAAUUCGAUGCAACGCGAAGAACCUUACCUAGGCUUGACAUGUACUGGAAGACUGGCAGAAAUGUCGUCGCCCGCAAGGGUCGGUACACAGGUGCUGCAUGGCUGUCGUCAGCUCGUGUCGUGAGAUGUUGGGUUAAGUCCCGCAACGAGCGCAACCCCUGCAUUUAGUUGCCAGCAUUCAGUUGGGCACUCUAGAUGGACUGCCGGUGUUAAACCGGAGGAAGGUGGGGAUGACGUC